Molecule: transfer RNA, 67 nt
Filed under: Phyllidiopsis krempfi
Lineage: Eukaryota; Metazoa; Mollusca; Gastropoda; Nudibranchia; Phyllidiidae
Description: tRNA-Ala
Source: RNAcentral
GGCUUUAUACUUUAUUAUAAGAAGAAUUAGUUUGCAACUAAAAAGAAGAUAGAUUGUCUUAAGGCCA